UUUUACGUCCCUGCCCUUUGUACACACCGCCCGUCGCUACUACCGAUUGAUGGCUCAGUGAGGCGUCCGGACUGGCCCAGAGAGGCGGGCAACUGCCACUCAGGGCCGGAAAGCUCUCCAAACUCGGUCAUUUAGAGGAAGUAAAAGUCGUAACAAGGUCUCCGUUGGUGAACCAGCGGAGGGAUCAUUACC
This 192-nucleotide ribosomal RNA is filed under the name Calonectria acicola. RNAcentral describes it as "partial 18S ribosomal RNA". It matches the Rfam family "Eukaryotic small subunit ribosomal RNA", at positions 1643 to 1831 of the family's 1831-position model. Lineage: Eukaryota; Fungi; Ascomycota; Sordariomycetes; Hypocreales; Nectriaceae. The record is from RNAcentral.